CCUACGGGUGGCAGCAGUGGGGAAUAUUGGACAAUGGGGGGAACCCUAAUCCAGCCAUGCCGCGUGUGUGAAGAAGGCCCUCGGGUUGUAAAGCACUUUCAGUGAGGAAGAACGCCUGGUGGUUAAUACCCAUCAGGAAAGACAUCACUCACAGAAGAAGCACCGGCUAACUCCGUGCCAGCAGCCGCGGUAAUACGGAGGGUGCGAGCGUUAAUCGGAAUUACUGGGCGUAAAGCGCGCGUAGGUGGCUUGAUAAGCCGGUUGUGAAAGCCCCGGGCUCAACCUGGGAACGGCAUCCGGAACUGUCAAGCUAGAGUGCAGGAGAGGAAGGUAGAAUUCCCGGUGUAGCGGUGAAAUGCGUAGAGAUCGGGAGGAAUACCAGUGGCGAAGGCGGCCUUCUGGACUGACACUGACACUGAGGUGCGAAAGCGUGGGUAGCAAACAGGAUUAGAUACCCGGGUAGUC
This 465-nucleotide ribosomal RNA is filed under the name Vreelandella stevensii. RNAcentral describes it as "partial 16S ribosomal RNA". It matches the Rfam family "Bacterial small subunit ribosomal RNA", at positions 338 to 795 of the family's 1533-position model. Lineage: Bacteria; Pseudomonadati; Pseudomonadota; Gammaproteobacteria; Oceanospirillales; Halomonadaceae. The record is from RNAcentral.